GGCCACUACAAGUUCGGGACUCCAAGCCCCAUGGGUCCUUGUGCGGGCGGCGGACCGCCUUUCCCGCUGCUUGCAUUGAUUGGUCAUAGCGCCUGUUAAUAUUCUGAAUUAUGUCCGUGAUUAGCUAGGCUGAGCAAGGUGGGUCCGCCCCUCCAAUUGGAGGCGUGCGUCUUCGUGGACACGAAGUAGGCCGGGGGGGCGGGGCCUGCGCGGAGGGAUCUCGGCGGCGGAGGCGACGGAGUGCCGCCUGUCGCCGCCAUCUUGAGCUGGGAGAGGCCGCGGAGGGACUCGCUGCUCUCAGUGGCAGCCCAGGGAAAACGAGUCCGGUAUCGCGUUGGGGAGGCUGUAACAUCUUCCCGGUUUAGAGAACUUUGUUUCACAAACUAAACAGUGGGGCCGUUGUCACUGGGGCCCCUCAUCCGUCGGUCCGGAAGCUUCGAGCAGCCCGGGAGAUCCGAUCGACUUCGUGUUGUGGCGUCAAGGGGGGACCCGCGGCGACAGUCAGCUCGGCCUUGUCACCGCUGUGCUGGCUUCGCCGUGAGGGAAGCUUGCUGUGAAGCGAGCGCAUUGAGUUGCAGAGUAAACCAUUUUGUUCCUCCUGUUUGAAAUCUAGCCUAGAGAGGCCUGUGGCUCAGGGAUGUCUUCAGAAAUAGUUUUGUCGCCACCGUGUCCGUUAAAGCUAUGUCCAAGGAGGCCCUCAAGGAGGACGGCAUCCUGGGGAUGUAGGUCUGCCCGGCGUCUCAAAGUCCUGGGUCGGAUCCCAGGACCGGAAAAAGGAGUAAGGAAAAAAAAGAAGGACAGUGCCUGGGCAGGGAGCUUCGCUGGGUAUCUUGCGAUGAACCUGUUACCAGCCACAAAUGUUAAAUCAUUCCUAAGCCUUUGGCCCUAAGAGCAAGAACCUUGAGUCUCUGCAAUUGAUGUGCUUCCCUUCCUGUUAAUAAAGUCGUUUUUGGCUGGGGA
Long non-coding RNA from Heterocephalus glaber (naked mole-rat), 960 nucleotides. RefSeq lists it as uncharacterized. NCBI's taxonomy places the organism in Eukaryota, Metazoa, Chordata, Mammalia, Rodentia, Bathyergidae. The record is from RefSeq and is a predicted model, not a curated record.